Molecule: transfer-messenger RNA, 403 nt
Filed under: marine eukaryotic metagenome
Rfam family: transfer-messenger RNA
About the family: Bacterial tmRNA, also known as 10Sa RNA or SsrA, is named for its dual tRNA and mRNA-like properties. Its role is to liberate the mRNA from a stalled ribosome.
Source: RNAcentral
GGGGCCGACUUGGAUUUGACUGCAAUAGCGGUAGAUGUACAAGCAUGUCGAGUAAUGCACCUGUUCUCGUUAAACACUAGUGUAUCAAGAAUAAUUGACAACAAUAAUUCUUACGCGUUAGCUGCGUAAUCUGACUCAGUUAGAUUAUACUUAAUUCCACCCGAAUAAUAGUAAGGGGAACUAACUGUUCACUAAAACCCCGCCUGAUGGUUUUGGAUCAUGAACAUCAUGAAUUGGGAUAGCUCUGGCAGGGUUGUGAUGUCAGUGUGAAACUAAUCGCAACUUAAGCUUUAGUUAGGGUGUUUGUGCUCAGCCUAAAGUCUAAAAAUUAAUCACAAAAUAAACAUGUAGAAACUAUAUAGACCCGUUGUUAGGACGAGGGUUCGAUCCCCUCCGGCUCCAC